RNAcentral lists this unclassified non-coding RNA (833 nucleotides) under Melitaea cinxia (Glanville fritillary). Its description in RNAcentral is "misc RNA ENSMCXG00005016846.1". Lineage: Eukaryota; Metazoa; Arthropoda; Insecta; Lepidoptera; Nymphalidae. The record is from RNAcentral.
GGAACGUGUUUAGAACUUAUUAACGACGCAGGCAUUUUUAUAAUAUGGGUUGUAAUUAAUUUUAUCAAGGGUAGCUACAUUUUGAUCUCAAUUAUCUCGUCCAUCAAGGAAAUGUUGUAUUGUUAACGAAAUGUUUGCGUGUCGUUUAUGCUGUACACGACAUAAUUAUAUCGUAUAAAGAUGUGACUACUUUGAUUUGUGUCAAUACAACAGUAGCCAUCGAAUAUGAAGCACACGUUUAUUUUCGUUUUUGUCGUCGUUUGCCUAGCUCUAUGCUGGGGUCAAAAAGACUUUCAAAGUGUAAUUGGUGAAUUUCAAGAAGAAUCUAAUUAUUUGAAGCGGGUAACCAGACAAAGUAAGCCACCUAUGCCUGAAAUAUCCAAACCGCCAAAUAUGCCGCCUCCACCAGAUAUGACGAAUAUACCUAAUAUACGAAAAAGAAGAGAGGCUAAAGGAACCGGUGGUUCCCUGCCAACUCGGAAGGGAUAAUUUUCUUACAGUUUUUUAUUAUCGGCUGGAUAUAAAAAUAUACAAUUGACAGCAAGAAAUCUAUAUUCAUUUAUUUAUUACCUACCUUUUAGAGAACCGCCUUUACUAUAUUACAAAUAAUAAAAUACAAACCCUAAACCAAAUAACUUUUAAGCAUCCUCUUAUGUUUAUGACAUGUGUUUAUUUAAAUUUGAAAUUAAACACUAACAAUAACUUAAGUAUUAUUAUUGUUAAUCUAUACAUGUACCUAAUAAAAUGGUAGGAAAGUCAAAACUGUACAUUGAAUAUUUUUUUAAAAGAAUACUUGGGGUGUGAUUACAAUCGAUACCGAAGCUAAAAAUAUA